CCAAGACAAGAUCUGGGCAGGAUGAGAGCCUGCUGUUCACUGGUGCCAGCUGUGAGCAAUUAUUAUCUUAGAGAGACUAUUUAACCGCCACCUGACCAUCAUCUCAUGAUUGCCUUUUCAGAAGACAGAACUGCCUGACAUUGCUGGUGAGUGGAG
Molecule: long non-coding RNA, 156 nt
Filed under: Callithrix jacchus (white-tufted-ear marmoset)
Lineage: Eukaryota; Metazoa; Chordata; Mammalia; Primates; Cebidae
Description: lncRNA (ENSCJAG00000069944.1)
Source: RNAcentral